CACCCAAUCGCCAUCCUCAUCAUGGGAGCCUGUCGCUGUCGCUGGUAGGAGUCGCCGCCGCUACUGUUGCGAAGCCACCGUCUCCGCUAGUUGCUCAGCCUUGUCUCUGUUUGUGGUUCCCCUUUUGUGUGCCGAAGUCGCUGCUGCCGUGAUGGUAGCCGUGGGGUUGCUAGUGCCUAAACAAAGCUGUUACUGCUGCUGCUCCAUUCCUCUGUUCUUUUCAAGUUUUAGGUUAUGUCAAUACCACUGCAAAUUAUUCGAUGGCAUUGCUAUUAUUGAUUCGGUUUAAAGCUGUUGCUGCUGCUGCUGCUAUGAGUUGGAAUGAAGUUAGAGUCACGCUUAAUUUUGUGGAUUUCGACUAGCUGAGUGACACAGGUCCGAAGACUCAGUUUGAAGUUGCGGACGAUUGUUGGACUAUAUUUAUGAGUUAAAUGUAUGAGUUAAUUUGCUUUCAUAGAAUUCCCUCGCACUUAUUGCUUAAGAUUUUUAUUUUAUACAGAAUGAUAGGGUUUGUAUUUGAGUUUUAUUUGAAAUCUUUUGUAUGACAGAUAUUACUAUUAAUAAUUAUGUGAUUAUUAUUACUUUGAAA
Long non-coding RNA from Arachis duranensis, 589 nucleotides. RefSeq lists it as uncharacterized. Lineage: Eukaryota; Viridiplantae; Streptophyta; Magnoliopsida; Fabales; Fabaceae. The record is from RefSeq and is a predicted model, not a curated record. The transcript has 3 exons.